UGGGGAAUCUUCCGCACUGGACGAAAGUCUGACGGAGCAACGUCGCGUGAGUGAUGACGUUCUUCGGCUUGUAAAGCUCUGUUAAUCGGGACGAAUGGUUUGUGUGCAAAUAGUGCAUAGACAUGACGGUACCUAACCAGAAAGCCACGGCUAACUACGUGCCAGCAGCCGCGGUAAUACGUAGGUGGCAAGCGUUGUCCGGAAUUAUUGUGCGUAAAGCGCGCGCAGGUGGUUUAGAAAGUCUGAUGUGAAAGCCGACGACUCAACCGUGGAGGGUCAUUGGAAACUAAUCAACUUGAGUGCAGGCGAGAAAAGUGGAAUUCAUAGUGUAACGGUGAAAUGCGUAGAGAUUAGGCGGAACACCAGUGGCGAAAGCGGCUUUUUGGCCUGCAACUGACUCUGAGGCACGAAAGCGUGGGGAGCAAACAGG
This 430-nucleotide ribosomal RNA is filed under the name Verrucomicrobiota bacterium. RNAcentral describes it as "Verrucomicrobia bacterium partial 16S ribosomal RNA". It matches the Rfam family "Bacterial small subunit ribosomal RNA", at positions 355 to 776 of the family's 1533-position model. Lineage: Bacteria; Pseudomonadati; Verrucomicrobiota. The record is from RNAcentral.